UUCCCCCUUCGUCUAGUGGCCCAGGACGUCGGCUCAUCCAGCCGGAAACGCUCGUUCGAAUCGGGCAGGGGGUGU
Molecule: transfer RNA, 75 nt
Filed under: Allorhodopirellula heiligendammensis
Lineage: Bacteria; Pseudomonadati; Planctomycetota; Planctomycetia; Pirellulales; Pirellulaceae
Description: Rhodopirellula heiligendammensis tRNA-Asp
Source: RNAcentral